UUAAUAGUAUUUAAGUUACAGGCUGAUUUAAUGUGUUGUCAUAUUUCGCGUUUUCAGCUCGAGAAAAGCACAAUUCUCUAUCAGCGUUCAUCGGCGUGCAGCGACCACGUAGUAUGUCGGGGAUUAUCGCAGCAGCUAAGAUCUCGCGAGAAGCACAAUUCUCUAUCAGCGUUCAUCGGCGUGCAGCGACCACGUAGUAUGUCAGGGAUUAUCGCAGCAGCUAAGAUGUGUCUGAAUACACACGACGCAAUUUAUUCACAGACAAACUUGAGACACUUACAGUGAAUCCCUGUGUGAAAUGAUGGCGUCUGCCAACUGAACAAAGUGAACAAUGAGCAGUUCAAAUUUUUCUUGGAGAAAAACCUUGAAAAUGCAAAUCGUUAUACUGUCGUUAUAAAUGCUGUCAAGAAAUGAGAAUGAAGAAAGACUUGUUUGUUUUUCAUGUGCAAAUGACAAGUGUCAGGCGAGUGACUUCAUACAAAGAGUAAUGAG
Non-coding RNA from Zootermopsis nevadensis, 492 nucleotides. The record is from RefSeq and is a predicted model, not a curated record. NCBI's taxonomy places the organism in Eukaryota, Metazoa, Arthropoda, Insecta, Blattodea, Termopsidae.